This 247-nucleotide RNase P RNA is filed under the name Hyphomicrobiaceae bacterium. RNAcentral describes it as "partial RNase P RNA component class A". It matches the Rfam family "Bacterial RNase P class A", at positions 189 to 367 of the family's 367-position model. Rfam says of the family: Ribonuclease P (RNase P) is a ubiquitous endoribonuclease, found in archaea, bacteria and eukarya as well as chloroplasts and mitochondria. Its best characterised activity is the generation of mature 5'-ends of tRNAs by cleaving the 5'-leader elements of precursor-tRNAs. Lineage: Bacteria; Pseudomonadati; Pseudomonadota; Alphaproteobacteria; Hyphomicrobiales; Hyphomicrobiaceae. The record is from RNAcentral.
GUAACGGCCGCGGCACGGUAAACCCCACCGGGAGCAAGACCGAAUAGGGGCGGUCGGGAGUGCGCGUUCCUCGGAGCGUGUGGCUUCAGGCCCGUUUCCAGGCCAACCGCCCGGGUUGGUUGCUCGAGGUGUCCGGCAACGGGCAUCCCAGAUGAAUGGCCGUCGCGGAAGCAGCGUGGCCGGCACUCGGCUCGCCGGUGUCGGGCUGGUUUCCAGACAGAACCCGGCUUACAGGCCGGCUGGUAAU